CUGGCGGCACGCCUAACACAUGCAAGUCGAACGAAGUAGCAAUACUUAGUGGCAGACGGGUGAGUAACAUGUAGGUAUCUACCCUGUGGCCUGGAAUAACACGAGGAAACUUGUGCUAAUACUGGAUAAGUCUUUACGGAGAAAGCUUUAUGCACCAUUGGAUGAGCCUGCACUUGAUUAGUUUGUUGGUAGGGUAAUGGCCUACCAAGACUGUGAUCAAUAGCUGAUUUGAGAGGAUGAUCAGCCACAUUGGGACUGAGACACGGCCCAAACUCCUACGGGAGGCAGCAGUGGGGAAUCUUGCACAAUGGAGGAAACUCUGAUGCAGCGAUGCCGCGUGAGUGAAGAAGGCCUUUGGGUUGUAAAGCUCUUUCGUCGGGGAAGAAAAUGACUGUACCCGAAUAAGAAGGUCCGGC
Molecule: ribosomal RNA, 416 nt
Filed under: uncultured bacterium
Lineage: Bacteria
Description: bacterial SSU rRNA
Rfam family: Bacterial small subunit ribosomal RNA
Source: RNAcentral